RNAcentral lists this ribosomal RNA (819 nucleotides) under uncultured Actinomycetes bacterium. RNAcentral's name for it is "bacterial SSU rRNA". It matches the Rfam family "Bacterial small subunit ribosomal RNA", at positions 70 to 866 of the family's 1533-position model. The record is from RNAcentral. Lineage: Bacteria; Bacillati; Actinomycetota; Actinomycetes.
AAAGUUCCCUUCGGGGAGCAAGUAGAGUGGCGCACGGGUGAGUAACACGUAGGUAAUCUACCUUUGGAUGGGGAAUAACAACCGGAAACGGUUGCUAAUACCGCAUAAUGCAGCGGCACCUAAUGGUGACAGUUGUUAAAGCGGGGGAUCGAAAGACCUCGCGUCUGAAGAGGAGCCUGCGGCGGAUUAGCUAGUUGGUAAGGUAAUGGCUUACCAAGGCUAUGAUCCGUAACCGGCCUGAGAGGGCGGUCGGUCACACUGACACUGACAUACGGGUCAGACUCCUACGGGAGGCAGCAGUCGGGAAUUUUGGGCAAUGGGCGAAAGCCUGACCCAGCAACGCCGCGUGAAGGAUGAAAUCCCUCGGGAUGUAAACUUCGCAAGAACGGGAAGAAUAAGUUGGUGUGAAUAUCACCAGCGAUGACGGUACCGUUUGUAAGCUCCGGCUAACUCCGUGCCAGCAGCCGCGGUAAUACGGGGGGAGCAAGCGUUGUUCGGAUUUACUGGGCGUAAAGGGCGCGUAGGCGGCCACUGCAAGUCGGUUGUGAAAUCUCCGGGCUUAACCCGGAAAGGUCAAUCGAUACUGCAGGGCUAGAGUGCAGAAGGGGCAACUGGAAUUCUCGGUGUAGCGGUGAAAUGCGUAGAUAUCGAGAGGAACACCUGCGGCGAAGGCGGGUUGCUGGGCUGACACUGACGCUGAAGCGCGAAAGCUAGGGGAGCGAACGGGAUUAGAUACCCCGGUAGUCCUAGCCUUAAACGAUGAAUGCUUGGUGUCUGGGGUUUUAUAGUCCCCGGGUGCCGUCGCUAACGCUUUAAGCA